Molecule: ribosomal RNA, 504 nt
Filed under: uncultured bacterium
Lineage: Bacteria
Description: partial 16S ribosomal RNA
Rfam family: Bacterial small subunit ribosomal RNA
Source: RNAcentral
GAUAAACGCUAGCGGCAGGCUUAACACAUGCAAGUCGAGGGGCAGCAUAGAUUGUAGCAAUACAAUUGGUGGCGACCGGCGCACGGGUGCGUAACGCGUAUGCAACCUACCCGUCACAGGGGGAUAAUCCGGAGAAAUCUGGUCUAAUACCCCAUAACAUAUGGAUCGGCAUCGGUUCAUGUUGAAAUUUUCGGAGGUGACGGAUGGGCAUGCGUAGCAUUAGCUUGUUGGUGAGGUAACGGCUCACCUAGGCGACGAUGCUUAGGGGGACUGAGAGGUUGUCCCCCCACACGGGUACUGAGACACGGACCAGACUCCUACGGGAGGCAGCAGUGAGGAAUAUUGGUCAAUGGGCGCAAGCCUGAACCAGCCAUGCCGCGUGCAGGAUGACGGCUCUAUGAGUUGUAAACUGCUUUUGUACGAGGGUAAAGUGGGUUACGUGUAACCUUUUGAAAGUAUCGUACGAAUAAGGAUCGGCUAACUCCGUGCCAGCCGCCGCCGUAA